GGCUAAAUCACUAGUUAACUAUUUUCAUCAUGGAAGUUAUACAGCUCAUGUAUCACACUUAAUAUUGAAUAUAUAUAAAAAGGGUUUUCCAAAAGGACCAUUUAUAAUCGAAAUACACAACUUCACACACGAUUUUGAGCACAACAGAGCGCUCAGUGAACAUCACUUCCGGGACCUGCAUCACCGGAGGGGGACAUCUAUCUUGGUCACAAACAAUCUUUGACAGUCUUCGACAGCAUGGUUGAAUCAGGUGAGCAUAAAAUGGAGUUUAACGUAAUUAAAUAGACCAAUGUUUUUUAACAUAGGAAAAUAGUUCAUUAUAAUCAACAGUUAAAUGUUGUUGUUAUUAAUUGCAAUCAGAUUUGAUUUUAUGAGGUUAAAUUAAGCAUUUCAGUUCUGGGCCAAGGCCAAGGCAUUUAACAUUUUUUUUUUAAAGUUGCAUGGAAGAUUAUAAGUAGCAGUGAUUGUCACACACUAGGUGUGGUGAAAUUAUUCUCUCCAUUUGACCCAUCACCCUUGAUCACUAUGCUAGUAAACAUUUUCUUAAUUUUAAACAAGACAGACUAGAGUUCUUCAAAUUGUUUAUACUUUUUGUCAAAUACAAAUAUUUCAAGCUGAUAAGCACUGUGGAGUAGGCAUGUUACUGAUAUUGUUACAUUACUACUUUGUUUGAGAAGCUUCAUGUCUGCAUUGAGCCUAAAUUUAACAGUUUUUGAAGGGUUUAGUUCUUUGUUUUAUUUCUGUGUCACUGACUUUUUUCAUUUUUAUGUGUGGAUUUGUUAGGCGCAUCAACACAUGAUAUAGACAUCGUGUCCAAAAGAAGAGCGAGACGUAAUCCUGAGGCUGAAGCCACCGAGUUUAUUUGAUCUGGAUGUGACAAGUCUUGUUUUAAGGCCCAGUGGAUCAAUGAUUGGAAAGACACCAACUGUUGAUGUUCUAUCUCAACAUUCUCCAGAUUCAUGUGAGCGAUAAACCGACUUCAUCCCUCCAACAGACACCAACUGUUGGGGUUCUAUCUCAACAUUCUCCAGAUUCAGAUGUGAGCGAUAAACCG
This is a long non-coding RNA of Nerophis ophidion (straightnose pipefish), 1054 nucleotides long. RefSeq lists it as uncharacterized. NCBI's taxonomy places the organism in Eukaryota, Metazoa, Chordata, Actinopteri, Syngnathiformes, Syngnathidae. The record is from RefSeq and is a predicted model, not a curated record. The transcript has 3 exons.